Molecule: non-coding RNA, 29 nt
Filed under: Homo sapiens (human)
Lineage: Eukaryota; Metazoa; Chordata; Mammalia; Primates; Hominidae
Source: RNAcentral
UGGCCACCAUCCCGUCUGGGAAGUGAGGA